GUUGAAGGCCGUAUGGUGGUCUAUAGUUGUUGAUUUCUGUUUCAAUUGGUCUUUUGUAGAGAGAUGUGUCAUUGGUAAUCAUAGAUAUAGGAAGAUGUGGUGUGAGUGCCAAUUAACAAUUUAAAAAGUAAACCAUUAUAGGUCAAUGUACGGCUUUCAAAACGGAGCCUUGGCUCAAACCGAACAACAAGCUAUAAAGGGCCCCAAAAUUACUAGUGUAAAACCAUUCAAACGGGAAAACCAACGGUCUAAUUUAUAUAUAUAUAAAAAAAAAAACGAGAAACGAGAAACACGUAUAAAUUACAUAGACAAACGACAACUACUGUACAUCAGAUUCCUGAAUUAGGACAGGUGCAAACAUUUGCAGUGGGAUUAAACGUUUUAAUGGUACCAAACCUUCUCCCUUUUUCUAAAACAUUAGCAUAACAUCACAACAUAGAAAAACACACGAUAAAAUAUCAAUUGGCAGGCUUAACUCAAUCAAAAAACGUAAAUUAAUACACUAUGAACGAAUAAAUUUGAUCUGCGAUAUCUGAAUGCAAAGUUAAUAAAUUAUUAGGGACAAACAUUCAAGGCCAAAAAGCAAACAAGAAAGUCCAAACAAAGCCAUGGCAAGAAAACACUGCGAAAUAUUUAACCUUUCGAAAAUAAUCACUUAUGAAAUAACACUAACGGUACCAAUUUUCCUGCACCAGAUGCGCAUUUCGACAAUACAUGUCUCUUCAGUGAUGCUCGUGGCCAAAAUAUUUGAAAUCCAAAGCUUAUAUAAAAGAUGAAGAGCUAUAAUCCAAAAGGUCCAAAAAGUAUAGCCAAAUCCGUGAAAGAAAUCAGAGCUUUGCAUGAGGGAGAUACAUUCCUUAAUUUAUAAAAAUUUCUAACAUUUUGUAACAGCAAAUUUUAAUAACACAAAAAAUCCGUAUUUUCAUGCCUGUACCGAAGUACUGGCUACUGGGCUGGUGAUAUCCUCGGGGACUAACAGUCCACCAGCAGAGGCAUCGACCUUGUGGUAGAAAUAACAUUAACGGUACCAAUUUUCCUGCACCAGAUGCGCAUUUCGACAAUGCAUGUCUCUUCAGUGAUGCUCGUGGCCAAAAUAUUUGAAAUCCAAAGCUUAUAUAAAAGAUGAAAAGCUAUAAUACAAAAGGUCCAAAAAGUAUAGCCAAAUCCGUGAAGGAAUCAGAGCUUUACAUGAUACGUUUGAUUGAUAUCGUUGUACCGCAAAGCCAUUUAUUGCCGAACCGUUUGGUUUCUGUAGAUGUUCAAUUUCUACUAAAAUAAAGGAAAAUCGGCUUUCCAUAGAGGAUUAACGUUUAUAUCCACGUUUCGUUGAUUUGUUUUGUCUUGUACAUUAAUCCCGCAUAAAGUCAUUCCCA
Molecule: long non-coding RNA, 1373 nt
Filed under: Mytilus galloprovincialis (Mediterranean mussel)
Lineage: Eukaryota; Metazoa; Mollusca; Bivalvia; Mytilida; Mytilidae
Source: RNAcentral